RNAcentral lists this ribosomal RNA (462 nucleotides) under uncultured bacterium. RNAcentral describes it as "partial 16S ribosomal RNA". The record is from RNAcentral.
GACUACAAGGGUAUCUAAGCCCGUUCGCUACCCUAGCUUUCGCUCCUCAGCGUCAGAAAAGACCCAGUAGGCCGCUUUCGCCACCGGUGUUCCAGAUGAUAUCAACGCAUUUCACCGCUCCACCAUCUGUUCCGCCUACCUCUGUCUCCCUCAAGCCUGACGGUUUGAAGCGCAGUUCCUCGGUUGAGCCGAGGGAUUUCACACCUCACCUGUCGGGCCGCCUACGAACUCUUUAAGCCCAGUGAUACCGAAUAACGUUCGGACGGUUCGUCUUACCGCGGCUGCUGGCACGAACUUAGCCCGUCCUUCCUCCUAGGAUCACUCAAGUAAAGGGGAGAACCCCCUUACAUUUGUUCCCCUACGACAGCGGUUUACAACCCGAAGGCCUUCAUCCCGCACGCGGCGUCGCUCGGUCAGGCUUGCGCCCAUUGCCGAAGAUUCUCGACUGCAGCCCCCCGUAGG